GUGUCAGCAGCCGCGGUAAUACGGAGGAUCCAAGCGUUAUCCGGAUUCAUUGGGUUUAAAGGGUGCGUAGGCGGAAUGAUAAGUCAGUGGUGAAAGCCUGCAGCUUAACUGCAGAACUGCCAUUGAUACUGUCAAUCUUGAGUACAUUUGAUGUGGGCGGAAUGUGUCAUGUAGCGGUGAAAUGCUUAGAUAUGACACAGAACACCGAUUGCGAAGGCAGCUCACAAAACUGUAACUGACGCUGAGGCACGAAAGCGUGGGUAUCAAACAGGAUUAGAAACCCGCGUAGUCC
RNAcentral lists this ribosomal RNA (292 nucleotides) under uncultured bacterium. Its description in RNAcentral is "partial 16S ribosomal RNA". It matches the Rfam family "Bacterial small subunit ribosomal RNA", at positions 505 to 796 of the family's 1533-position model. The record is from RNAcentral.